RNAcentral lists this long non-coding RNA (8075 nucleotides) under Hordeum vulgare. RNAcentral describes it as "long non-coding RNA (HVUL_LNC013882)". Lineage: Eukaryota; Viridiplantae; Streptophyta; Magnoliopsida; Poales; Poaceae. The record is from RNAcentral.
ACGCUGAGCAACUCCUUGGCUGGAGGCGACGAGCCGUUUUCUUCUGGUUUCUGAUCGGUCUCUGAUCUGGGAGCCGACCUGCUUCUUCGGAACCGUUUAGCUCCUUCUAACGGCUUCCUUUGGAGCACGUCGGCGUUGUGGUUAUCAGGUACCAAUGCUCGUUGAAUACUGUUGUCAGACAUUGGUUUAGGUUGCGAAUUGCCGUCAGAAUCAAAAACCUAUUAUUCAGAGAAUGUCACACGUUACAGAUAAGCGAGAAGGAAGUUUAGAAGCUCAUCAAAUAUCAGGUAAAAAUUAAGGCAAGACGGUGGAUAUGCACUGAAUUGCAUGGACAACUGAGAGACAUUUUUUUUCCUAUCACCAUCAUUCUAAGCAUUGAAUUUUUUAACUGCAGGUCAAAGAGAGGCAGACAAAGUAAGAACAUCUUAGCAGACUAUGUACAAAUCGACCCUUAAAAACGCGUAUAAGGGGCAUUGUUGACCAUUUUUACGGUACGAAAUUGUCCCGGACAGAACAGACCCUGUAAAUGGAACUGUAUUCCACUAUAGUUUUUCUUUUUCUUUUUUCCUUACGUCCCGGCGAGCCGUCUCCUGCCACGGCGUGCCUCGCCCGCCUCGCCUCCGUCUCAUCUUGGCGCCGCCCGUUCCUGGUCAUGCAUGCAGUGAAGGAGGCCUGCGUCGUCUGCCCCCGAUUGAGCUCGGCACUGCCCGCCGCCGCGCGUACGUUUCCCCGUCGUGGCCGUGCGAGCUCCCCCACCCUGCUCCGCCCUUCUUCGGUGCCGCCCACCCUGAUUCAGGCCGCCGGUAGCCUGCUUCAUCCUGCCCGUGGACGGCCGCGUCUUGGCAGUGAAGGUCGAGCUGGCCGUAAUUCGGAUCGACGGCGACAAAUUUCGGCGUGCGGCGGCUUCUUUUGACAUGCAGUGACGGAUUCCGGUGAGUUUCAGAUAGAUUCCGGCCAGUUCCGCGGCGACGCGUUUGCUCCGACGAGGUUUGACCAGUUUACGGGUUGAACUGUAUACUGCUUUCAAAAGUGCACAUAUAAGGUUUUCACCGAUGGAUUUAGCGUGGCCUUUAAAAAGUUUACAGGUCGAACAAGUUUUACGGGGUCUGAUCCACGCCGUUUUUCCGAUCGAAACUGUAAACAUUUCAUUUUUUUACGGGUUUAACCAGUUUAUGGGGUCUGCUAGAAGGCCAAUACUUACUAGUAGAUGUUAUCUUGAAUUCCUGAUGUUGACUUUCUGGGCCUUUAGGCACAGAAUUCUCCUCUUAUCCAGUAUAAAAAUAAGGGCCGAUUCCUAUUUACCUAUUCUGUCGCUUUCUCUCUGGACAAAGUCGCACUGCUACUGGCUCAGAUCGGAUCUCUACAGCUAGCUUAAUCUGCAACCCAAGGAACUGAGAAGCUAAGUGCUGGAAAGUUAACCUUGAUGAGAGACGAAAAGGGGAAGCGAGACGAGCAGGGGAAGCAUUUCCCACUCUGCUAUACAACAGUAGCAUCUACUCGUGUUGAAGCUACAUACAGAAUCAAAGCCAUUCGCACGAAGCAAGCAGAGCACAGUUCAGAAGGCAGAGAGAUUAUCAUCCCUUACCUCCCUCCGGCCGACGGAAGCUGGGCGACGCUUUGGGGUGUCGAGGCGCCUUUCUUACUCCUUUUCUUCUUCUUCUUCUUCCCUCGAGCUCUACUGCUUUGCUCAGCUGAUCGAUCUCCUCCCGCUCCGCGUUGGCUCGCUUUUUGUCGACCCGAGCUGCGACCUGAGGCCUGGGCUGAGAGGCACGGAGAUGGGGACGCACGCACGCGCCACGACGGCCGCGCCGGAUCUCUCUACGUGUUGGCGCCGCGUGGGUUGAGCUGUAGAGGUCCCGCCGCUUUGACGUGGCCGGCCCCACCGUGCCGGCGCAAGUUGGAACCCUUCGCCUCGCCGUUUUGUUGACCUUCCUGACCCGGAGGGGGCGCGGCGCGAACCGAUCUGGCGGGUCCAGGUCGGUUGGCCGCAGGCAAAAUUCAGCAGGACUGCUGCUCCGUUUCUCAGAUCAAGAUCCAACUGAGAUCGGAUCCGAGCUCGGCAUGUUUAGCUGAACGAAAUGCAACCGUGCAAGGAGGUGGGGUGCGGGCGUCCAGCGAAUCGGGAUAAGAAAGGGCCUACAUGUCACUCUCUCCCCUCGUGCCUCGUGCCCUUCAUGAAAGCUCCACCCACCGGCCACCGCCCCCAUCACUCUCUGGUAUCGUUGCUCAUUCAAGAACGAUGUUUCUAGCUUGCUUUGCGACGCGGUAGGAACAUUUAAUAAAGAUGUCAAUCAGCCAAUGGGUUGGUUUUUGCACGGGUUGACCAAUCCCAUUGUUAGAUUCUGGAGGCCUCUCAGGGCGCUUGCAAUUUCGGCCGUCGGAUUGCGUUUUCAAACGAAUUCGGUCCGUCGGAUCUUCCUGGCCAUAAUGUGUGUGCUCUUCUCUAAUUACUAGCAAAAUGACCCGUGCGUUGCAACGGAAGAAAAAAACAUAAUCUUCAAUGAUGAUGACCACAUUAUGUUCACACAUAAUCGCUUGAUUUCGAAAUUUUGUGCACAAAUGCAAGAAAAUGUUUCUUCUUUUAAAUUUAUUCACAAGUUGAAGCAAUCUUUGCAUUUUCAAAAAAAAUAUAUAUAUCAUGGUUGUCAAAAAUCUUGGUAACUCAAAGAAUUAUUCUUAAUUUCAAGAUUUUUUUUUAGAAACACAUACAAUAAUAAUUCGAUCCAUCCAACAAUUAAUUCUUCAAAAAUCACACGGGUAUAUUUUCACAAAGACUUAGAAGCAUUAAUGUUUAACUACAUACAUUAGAUCUUUCAUGAACAAUUUUACAAAUAUGAGAACAAUUUUAAAAUUAAGAACUUUUUUUACAAUUUACAAACAUUUACUAAAAAUUGUGAAUAUUUUUUAUAUUUCAAACGGGUUUAAAUAUUUUCUUUUGAAUUGGCGACCAAUUCUAGAAAAGACGAACAUAAGUUUUUAUGUUGCAGGAUUUUACUUUAAAUUCACAAACAUUUUUGAAACGCAUGAAGUUUUGCUGAAUAAACAAACAUUUUUAUAAGUCAGUAAUAUAUUUAUUAAAUUCAUGACAUUGUUUUUGAAUUUGCAAAAUUUUUUAUAAAAAUCCGGCGCCUUUUUUGAAUCCACAAACAUUUUAUGUUUUCGUCAACAUUUAAUUCGAAAUUCCUAUUUUUUAAUAUGCAAAUGCUUUUGUAAUUCUAAAUUAUUUAAAUUAGAAGUAAACAAAAAUGGAACGGACAAAAUUAAAUAAAAAAGAAACUAUCAAAACAGGCAUUAGCUAUUUUUAAAUGCAUUAACAUAUUUUGAAUUAGAAAGCAUUUUGUUAAAUGCUUUUAAUAAUUUUUAAUACAUGGAAUUUGAUUUGAAAUCAUGGACUUUUCUUAUUGUAUAAACAUUUUUUCAAACUUGCAAACAUUUUAUUGUAUAUGCGAGCAUUUUUUAUAAAGACUCCGAGCAGUUUUUGAAGUCACAAACAUUUUAUUUUUUAAAAUAUGUUGAUUUAAAAUUUUAAGUUUAUUAAAAGUUUAAAGGUUAUUUGAAGUUCUAAAUUAUUUAAAAUAGAAAAAUAAAAUGGAACUGAAGAUAAAUAAAUAAUUGGAACUAAAAAAACUGAUGCCUGUGCAUGGGCCGGCCAAUACGGUGUGCUGGAUAUUCUCUCGGGGUGCAGAGCGGAGGUUUUUACAUGGGCCGGCCCAGUCUGAGAUUUUUCGUUUUGUGAAACGUUUUCUAUUACAUACCGGUGACAUGGUGGGUAAUUUAUGCAAACUUUAUGGGCAAUUUUCAUGACGUACCACAUAAGCAAUAGGUGCUUUAUUAAUAUCUCUAAUCUCUAACUAGACCAUGAUGGCGCGUGUUGCCGCGCCCGUCCAUUUGGUAAAUGGUAGAAAUUUAGUGAAAUAAAUUAAGACGUGAAACAUGGAAAUCAAAUUUUCAUCACGAACAAUGAUGCACUAAAGGUCAUGCCAAGAUGAAAAAUAUGAAAAUAAUCUAUUGGUGUAGUGGGCUUACAAUAUGUGUUCGUGGCCAUGCAAAUGUAUGAAAUAAAGAGUACAUGUCGAGGGCUACACUUGGCAUCACAAAUUCAAAUACAAGGAAUGAUAUCCAGAAGGUACCUUUAUAGCACAUCAAUAACACACCAUCCUCUAUUUUUGUACGUCCGUGUGUGUUCCUUCCAUCAAGCAGUUGAAGAAAAUUAUGUGCGGAAAUUGUGCUACCGCAAGAAAAAUAAUUGUAAUGCUCGGUGCACAUAUUCUGCAAUAACUUGGCUUGUGCUAAGCAAUUAGUUAACUAUUCAUGUCCCUUUCUAUACCGAACCACCGUCUAUCUAUCAUGCCAUCAUUUUUGUUUGUCGUCAUAAACGAUAUGGAUUCAUAUGAAACAAUAGAUAUAGUCUAAUAAAUUGCACUUGAAACCAGUUACCUCUUGCCUGAUGUCCUCGUGACCACCAUAAUAAUUUCUUAAAUCACCCUUCAGCCUUCCAUUCAUUUGAAGCUACAAAAAGAACACACUGGAAGAAAAAAAUACUAAGAGAUGAUCAAGGUAAACACACACAUAAUGGGAUCCAACCAUGGAAAAAAUGGUGCGGGAUUCAAUAAAGAAGAAAAAAGAGGAGGAUCCAUUGCUCCAGCCCGAUCUCAUGAAUGAGAAGAUCAUGAAGACAGGAAGCCUCAAAGAAAUAGGAGGUGCAAGGAUCAUGCUCGUCAUUAAUUUGCCCAUAAUCCCAGUGUUUAUUCUGUCAUCAGUCAACAUAAACAAUGAAAUAAUUUUGGAAAAAAUCACAUUUUUUAUGUAGAAGCAGCAAUUAGAUUAUUAACAAUUGAUAAAUAUGGUAUUGCAUUUAACUGAAUGUAAAAUGGAGUACCGGGCUAAUCUUGCAAAGACACACCCCUGCAGUAGUAAAGUUUCAUCUGCUGCGCCUUCGGUGAGAGAUUCUAAUGUCUGUAUCAAGGGUUCAGAGAAAGGUAGUCAGCCAUGAGAAAAUCAAACACGAACUAAUCAAUCUUACAACUUGUCAUGACGUCCAUGUAGUUCUCAGUAGGAAGAAGGUCACACCAACGAGGAUCAGGUGUGCUUGUUCGUCGGCCCCAUCAUGCUUUUCUCCACCAUCUGUUUGCUUUCUAUCUCUCUAACCAAUCGAUCAAGAACCAUCGUGAUAGAUUGGAGAUCGGAGUGAAAAUAUUAUACUUGUUCUUGAUUCAGUCACAGCAUACUUUGUCGAGUACGUGAGGUCCAUCCACAAAAUCAUUUAGGAGAGCACAAACACAACACCCAGAAUUCAAAACCGAGAGAGAUCAGGUGAGGAGUAGAGGAGGAAAUCCGCGAACUUACGAAGUGGCCCAGGAACGGUGGCGGCAGCUCCAUCCCAAUCGUCCAUGUUGCUACACGAGGAGGCUGGGGCGAAGGGGGUCGUCGUGGGGUUCCGAUUGUUUGUGCCGCCGUCGCCGUAGAUGGGGAGAAUAGGGGAGUUGCUCUAGAACCGUCGCCUUCGCACCUGCACGGAAUCGCACAAACGCUCGUCAUCCGUCGGUGCUUAAUGGGCUGGUCGCUUGGGCCUAAUCAACGAGGAUACUGCGUUUCGGCCACGAGAGUAGCCUCCCCUUAGGACAGCCAGCCCACGAAACACAAACAUGACACACAGAUCAGACCGAACGGCUAGAAAUGGUUUGAUCAGAAAAAUUAACGGUCCAAACAUCUCAUGGCGUGAGAAGAUAGGGAUUAGGCUCAGUUUUACUGUCCUAAAUUUGUUAACCCCAGUUCACUUUGGGUCCAUAAGGUGUGUGUUCUUCUCCAAUCCAUACUCUUGAUGCUUCGUGUGAUUACUUUUGCAGCAGUUUCAGUUUGUUGUAAUGAGAUUGCUCAUAUUCUGUUGAACUCAAACUCUGUAGGGCUCCCAACAUUUUGAAGACAUAUUAUCUACUCCCUCCGUUUCUAAAUAUAAGACCUUUUAGAGAUUAUAUUAUAAACUACAUAUGGAUGUACAUAGACAUAUUUUAGAGUAUAGAUUCACUCAUUUUGCUUUGUAUAUAGUCUUCUAGUGAAAUACCUAAAAUGUCUUAUAUUUUGGAACGGAGGGAGUAGUUAUUUUACUAGCUUGGUCUCAGCUAAGGAACUGUUGGAGCUUCCUUGCCACUUGAGAAGAGCUUGCAUUGCAUAUGCUGGCAAGCUCGCUCCUUUGUAGUGGUAUAUUCCUCGAAUGAGAGACUAUGAUGUAAGUCUCUGUGUGUGUGUGCGCGCGCGCGCCUGAAUAGAAACUCUGGGUGUUCACUUAGUUCUCCCAGGUCAUCAUCUCAUGGAAGCAAACUCCUAUUUGCCUGAGACCUCAUUAGAUAGAUUGCCGUUUGCCUUGCAAUUCUGGACCCAGGAGCAACAAAUCCAAGAAAAAAAUACAUCUACACAGGCUACCAUAUUGGAAGCUGGAAAUAUUUCAUGACUGGAAAACAAUAGCUUAACAAACUUCAUUUACACAGGUACACAAGCUUAUCAAAGCAUCACCAAAUACCUCUUUCUUACACAUGUCCAGGUGCAUAUGAGCAGAUCCAUUGUGUUAAAUACAUGUAGGAGCUCAACAAGGUCAUAUCUUUUGACACUUUACAAGAUUACAGAACUAAUUAACAGCAUUAACCGACCAUUCAACUAUAGUAUUUAAGCUGUAGAAUUAAGUACAAGCCCAUAUGUUCAUCACCGACCGGAUUGUGCAUGAGUAAGGUCAUAGGUGGAGAGCGUGCCGGACUGGUCAACGUCGAGUUUCUCAAACUCCUCUAGAAAAGAAGAUAUGUCUUCUUGGCUGAUCUUCCCCAGUUCUUUGAGCUUGUACACGACAAAUUCAGCAGCACUGCACAUAUCAAAGUUCACAAAUCAACACCGAUGCUCAUUACCUGCAAAAUCUUAAGGGAUAUGAUGGCGAGGAAGAAUACUAAAAAUGCUUUAUGCGCUUACCCCACUUUUCGAUCAUUAUCCAGAUCAGCUGCUUCAAGAUCCAUGUUUGUUAUUCUCCGUGUGAGAACCCAUUUGGCCAGCAUUUUCUGCCGUCGCUCGGUGUAGAUCUCAGCAAGGUACAUGAAGAACAGCGCCAGGAUUAUGGUGCUCGUAAUUAUCCAAAAUACCGCGAAAGUGCGCCCCAAUUUGGACGAGAAGCUUUUAUCCCCAUAGCCCAGGGCAGUUAUUGUGGCACAGACACAAUAAAAGGAAUCAACAAGGCUCAGCUUCUCAACCUUCCAGAGAAAAACAGUCCCCACAACAAUGGUUGUCACAAGAAGUAGGGCAGCAGUGUAGAAUUUGUACUUUGUCUUGUUUGUCUCAAUUUGCCUGAGCAUUUUGGCCUCGCUAAACUUCAUGUUCAUGUGCAGUGCCUUGAAGAACAGCACCUCCUGCUUCUCGACGAGAUAAUCUGCCGACUUGCUCACAAAGAGAGCAAUAAACGCCAUGCCGGUGAAGACGAAAACACAGGCGAGGAGCUUCGCCGUGUCACUGUGAGGGACAAGGUCUCCAUAACCAACCGAUGUCAUCGUGACAAUACAGAAGUAGAGUGCGUCAAGCACCCUGUUGGUUCUCUUGCCAGAUAACUGAUCCAUGACAAGGUAAAAGACGACGACGCCCGCUAGCAGGUAGAGAAAUAGGAGGAGCCCUGCUAGUCUAAAGCUCGGUCGUAUCACGCUGAACAACUCCUUGUCUGGAAGCGGCGAGCCAUUUUCUUCUGGUUUCUGAUCGGCCUCUGAUCUGGGAGCCGACCUGCUUCUUCGGAACCGUUUAGCUCCUUCUGACGGCUUCCUUUGGAGCACGUCGGCGUUGUGGUUAUCAGGUAGCAAUGCUCGUUGAAUACUGUUGUCAGACAUUGGUUUAGGUUGCGAAUUGCCGUCACAAUCAAAAACCUAUUAUUCAGAGAAUGUCACACGUUACAGUAUUGGUGUUACAGAUAAGCGAGAAAGAAGUUUAGAAGCUCAUUAAAUAUCAGGUAAAAAUUAAGGCAAGACGGUGGAUAUGCACUGAAUUGCAUGGACAAUUGAGAGACAAUUUUUUUCCUAUCACCAUCAUUCUAAGCAUUGAAUUUUUAACUGCAG